This 381-nucleotide ribosomal RNA is filed under the name uncultured bacterium. RNAcentral describes it as "bacterial SSU rRNA". It matches the Rfam family "Bacterial small subunit ribosomal RNA", at positions 28 to 410 of the family's 1533-position model. The record is from RNAcentral.
GACGAACGCUGGCGGCGUGCUUAACACAUGCAAGUCGAGCGGUAAGGCCCUUUCGGGGGUACACGAGCGGCGAACGGGUGAGUAACACGUGGGUGACCUGCCUUUAGCUCUGGGAUAAGCCUGGGAAACUGGGUCUAAUACCGGAUAUGACUCCAUGAUGCAUGUUGUGGGGUGGAAAGCCUUGUGCGGCUGGAGAUGGGCCCGCGGCCUAUCAGCUUGUUGGUGGGGUGAUGGCCUACCAAGGCGACGACGGGUAGCCGGCCUGAGAGGGCGACCGGCCACACUGGGACUGAGACACGGCCCAGACUCCUACGGGAGGCAGCAGUGGGGAAUCUUGCGCAAUGGGCGAAAGCCUGACGCAGCGACGCCGCGUGAGGGAUG